AUGAAGAAAAUGAUCAAAAUGGUCUUACAGCAGUGUCAGGUCUGUCAGCUCGCGAAUCCUGAUCGUGUACCUUAUCCUGGUUUACUGCAACUAUUGUCAGUGCCUUCACAGCCAUGGGAAAUGACGACAAUGGACUUCAUUGAAGGUUUACCAGUUUCACGACACUACAAUUGCAUAUUGGUGGUCAUUGACAAACUGACCAAAUAUGGUCAUUGCAUUGCACUCAAACAUCCCUACACGGCUGCCACAGUGGCUGAAUCCUUCCUCGAUCGUGUGUAUCGUCUCCAUGGCCUCCCUGACUCAUUGGAUUCAGAUUAG
RNAcentral lists this ribosomal RNA (318 nucleotides) under Triticum aestivum (bread wheat). RNAcentral's name for it is "partial small subunit ribosomal RNA". Lineage: Eukaryota; Viridiplantae; Streptophyta; Magnoliopsida; Poales; Poaceae. The record is from RNAcentral.